This is a long non-coding RNA of Thalassophryne amazonica, 145 nucleotides long. RefSeq lists it as uncharacterized. The transcript is spliced from 2 exons. NCBI's taxonomy places the organism in Eukaryota, Metazoa, Chordata, Actinopteri, Batrachoidiformes, Batrachoididae. The record is from RefSeq and is a predicted model, not a curated record.
UUAAACACAAACUCAACUAAUGAACAACAGGUGUAAAGUUAGUGACAAUGAAAAAGCCGGGACAUGGGAGGAAAAUAAAGGAACACACAGAGAUGUAGAAUCAAAUGGACAACAUGAGGUAAGUGGGUAAAUAAAACGUGAACAC